Molecule: ribosomal RNA, 460 nt
Filed under: uncultured bacterium
Lineage: Bacteria
Description: partial 16S ribosomal RNA
Rfam family: Bacterial small subunit ribosomal RNA
Source: RNAcentral
CCUACGGGGGGCAGCAGUGAGGAAUAUUGGUCAAUGGACGAGAGUCUGAACCAGCCAAGUAGCGUGAAGGAUGACUGCCCUAUGGGUUGUAAACUUCUUUUAUAUGGGAAUAAAAUGUUCCACGUUUGGGAUUUUGUAUGUACCAUAUGAAUAAGGAUCGGCUAACUCCGUGCCAGCAGCCGCGGUAAUACGGAGGAUCCGAGCGUUAUCCGGAUUUAUUGGGUUUAAAGGGAGCGUAGGUGGAUUGUUAAGUCAGUUGUGAAAGUUUGCGGCUCAACCGUAAAAUUGCAGUUGAAACUGGCAGUCUUGAGUACAGUAGAGGUGGGCGGAAUUCGUGGUGUAGCGGUGAAAUGCUUAGAUAUCACGAAGAACUCCGAUUGCGAAGGCAGUUCACUGGACUGCAACUGACACUGAGGCUCGAAAGUGUGGGUAUCAAACAGGAUUAGAUACCCCAGUAGUC